AUAUUUUUAAGUUGUUUUAGACAUUAUGUUACUUAGUUUUUUAUUUAAUUUUCAAAACUAUUUUAUAAUAACAGUUACAAUCUUUUAUGUUCACAUUUUAAUUUUAAUUAUCCAUUUGUAUUGCUAAAUUGGUGUUAUUAUUUUAAAAAUUAAAUCAUUCUAUAGUAUAGAACUAGUAAAGUUAGUGAUUUUUAUAUUUAGUUUUUAGUAUAUUUAUCAAUAGAUUAUAUAGUAUAAUGGUUAAGUGGAAUGAUGUGUGGUUGGAAAAGUUAAAUAAAAAUCUAGUGAAAAUCUAAUUAUGGGCUGAAAAAAGAAACUCUGAAUAUGCUAUCUGUAAACUAUGCAAAAGUGAUUUAAAAUUCAGUUCAGUUGGUUUCCAAGCACUAUAUCAGUAUUCUUCAAAACCUAAACAUAAGUCAGUGUCUGAUCUAAGAUUUUCAAAAACUGCUUGUCAUUUAUAUGUAGAUUCUAACAAAAACUCGAUUGGGGGAAAAAACGUUAUACAAUUAGAGUUCUCUAUAAAUGAAAAAAUUUCUGCUGCAGAAGCCAUGUGGCUUUUUAAAGUGUCAGAUAAUGAUCUUGCCUUAAGACAUUGUGACAACACACCAAUAUUGUUCCAAAGAAUGUUUCCAGAUAGUAAAAUAAGUCAAUGUUUUACUAUGAGUCGGCAAAAAGCUUCAUAUAUUUUGCAAGAUGGCCUUGGGCCAUUGUUGGAAAAGCGUUUAUGUAAUAGUAUUACGUUAAGUCAAGGUGCAUUCACUUUAAUGUUUGAUGAAACAACUACUUCACAACAAAGAAAACAAAUGGAUCUUUUAUGUCGUUUUUGGUCAGAAGACGAAAACCAAGUUGUUACAAAAUAUUUAACAUCGCUGUUCUUUGGCAGAGCAACAGCAGAAGAUGUCAAAACAAUGCUAGCAGAUUUACGUCAUAAUGAAAGGUUUUAUUUACCAUGGGAUCGUCUUUUUAAUAUUUCAGCAGAUGGUCCUAAUAUUAACAAAGCCAUUUGGAGAUUGUUAAAUGCUGAUCUUCAUAGUAAUGGUUUUAGCAAUUAAUGUUGUCAGUGAGGAUGCUGAGCAGCUUGCAUUUGAUUUACAUAACUGGUUCAAGAAUGCACCCUGUAAAAUAGAAGAUUUUAAAAAAUUAUCAGAUUGCAUUUUUAUUGAAGAUGAAACAUUGUUUCUUCGUUUUGUCAAUACUAGAUGGCUCACUCUUUCUUCUUCACUUAUAAAGGUUCUAUUAAGGUGGGAAGACACCAAGAAAUAUUUUUUGGAAUAUAUUCCAAAACAAAAGGAGUAUAAAAAGACACUGACAAACAAUAAGCGUUAUAUUCGAAUUCAAAGAAGUCUUAGGGAAACUGAAAAUCUAAUUAAAGUUAUUCUUAUUAUUAUUUUUUUUUGAAUUAUUACCUAUAAUAGAGAAUUGAUUAUUUUAGGAGUUACUUGUGUCCAUCAAAUUCCUUAUUGGUUUAGCUCCCUUGUUUGAGAAAUACUUGACAAUAUUUCAAGAUGAAGGACCACUUGUUCAUAUUUUAUUUUAUAAAAUGAAAAAUCUUUUAAUAUCUUUAAUGAAACGUUUCCUUCAACCGACUGCUGUUAAGGGAAAGCUUACUAAAGAUCUUUUAAAAAUUGAUUCUUCUGAUUCAACUAUCCACCUUGAUUUGAAUAAAAUGGACUUUGGCGAGGAAGCUAAAAACCAGGUGAACAAAAUAUCAUGUGAAAAAAAAAGAUUUGUCUUCUUACAGCAAAUGAGAGAUGGAUAUAUAUCUGUUGUAAAACACUUGCAAAAAAAACUUCCACUUGAUUUGCAGAUAUUAAAAGAUAUAACUUGUUUGGGUGCUCAAAUGAGAUCAGAACCUUGGACUGUUAAUGCAAUUGGGCGAAUAGCAGUUAGGAUGCCACAUGUAAUUAUGG
Hydra vulgaris (swiftwater hydra) is the source of this 1910-nucleotide non-coding RNA. The record is from RefSeq and is a predicted model, not a curated record. Lineage: Eukaryota; Metazoa; Cnidaria; Hydrozoa; Anthoathecata; Hydridae.